CAAAGCAAUAGUCACUUCCACAUUUGCAUUGUCUUUCAAUGAAAGGUCUCCCCAGGAGCAGUUCGGAAACCCCUUUGAUCCUAGCAAAGAUCCCAUUCUAGGGGUGGGAGUAAUGGAGAGGAAUAAGUAAGGAGAAGAAACCAGAUUAAGCAGCGGUACAGGAUUUUUUUAAAAAGGACAAGUUCAGGCUGUUCUGUUUUACUAAACAGUUUUUAUCCAUUGAGGUAUUAAACAAGAUGGUCACCUGUACUGAUGUGCCUACAGCCGGGUUCCCGAGUUAAUAUUGGUAGAAUGUAACCUACUCGUUCUAGCAAAUAAUGAUUUCUUCAAUGUUAUUUCCAGACUCUAAAAUAGAGCUCAAGCUUGAGAAGAGAGAGCCGCUAAAGGGCAGAGCAAAGACUCCAGUAACACUCAAGCAAAGGAGGAUUGAGCACAAUCAGGUAUCUGUAGUUUUAUGGUCACCAUGUCCAGUGUGUCACCUGACCCGUGUCUUGACCUUUGAUAAAUAGUUGGUGCACACAGUGCCGCUUGCCACAGACUCGGUUUCCCAGUUGAGCGGCAUGGGGCACGUGCUUUGUGAGAUGUGUCACAAGCAUAGCCUCUGGUGUGUAGUCCUGCUAAGCUGUCCAGCAUUAGUCAAGGUGCCGGUUUCUAGUUUGGGUGUAGCAGUUUUGAACCUGGGGUCUCAGGCCAGUGUCCCCCUACCUCAUGCUUCCUCUUGAGGAUUGUUUUAGAAGAUAAAAUGCACCUUUUUUUUUUUUUUUUUUUUGAUGCAACUUAUUUGAAAUCUCGGGAAAGUCUUAUUUGUCUUUGUGUCUAGAUUUUUCAAUCUUAUUUACUUUAUUUGUAGCUUCUUGCACUUUGAAGCUAGUGUGAUACAUUGUUUAAGAUGACAGUUUCCUUUGGGGGGGGGAUGGGACAGGAAGGGCAAGAUAGAGUUUUCAAAAGGAAACUGGGGAGAGAAUUAGCAUGAGGCAUUAAUUAAAUACAUUAGUUUGCAGAGGGAAGUUACUGGCUCUGAUUUAGGCCCCGCACCCUAGGUUCUUUUCCUCAUCUUUACUCAUCACUUGAAAAUUGUUACUUUGUUACUCAUCUAUCCUUCCCACAGUCUGUCUGCCUCUGGUUUCUGUGGUGUUUUUGAAACAGUGAUUCACAGAGAAGCCUUGGCACGCCUGCCCAGGCUGGCCUCUUGUAAAGCUUCCUGCUUCCUGAGAGAUGGGAUUCCUGGUGUUCACUACCGGGUCCUGCUGACUUUCUUCCGGGUGAUGGGAAGGGAGAGGCAGGGCCCACUAUUCCUGACCCUCCUGCCUGUACCUCACAGAUGCUGGGAUUACAGGAGUGUAGCACAGAUCCUAGCCAAAAAAAAAAA
Molecule: long non-coding RNA, 1369 nt
Filed under: Rattus norvegicus (Norway rat)
Lineage: Eukaryota; Metazoa; Chordata; Mammalia; Rodentia; Muridae
Description: long non-coding RNA NONRATT026673
Source: RNAcentral